This is a non-coding RNA of Parelaphostrongylus tenuis, 74 nucleotides long. Lineage: Eukaryota; Metazoa; Nematoda; Chromadorea; Rhabditida; Metastrongylidae. The record is from the annotation of a GenBank genome assembly.
GCGUCGGUGGUGCGACGGUUCAGCACACGCUCCCGUAAAGAGUGAGAUCUGGGUUCGAAAUCUCGGCCGACGCG